ACGAACGCUGGCGGCGUGCCUAAUACAUGCAAGUAGAACGCUGAAGGAGGAGCUUGCUCUUCUGGAUGAGUUGCGAACGGGUGAGUAACGCGUAGGUAACCUGCCUGGUAGCGGGGGAUAACUAUUGGAAACGAUAGCUAAUACCGCAUAACAGUAGAUGUUGCAUGACAUUUGCUUAAAAGGUGCAAUUGCACCACUACCAGAUGGACCUGCGUUGUAUUAGCUAGUUGGUGGGGUAACGGCUCACCAAGGCGACGAUACAUAGCCGACCUGAGAGGGUGAUCGGCCACACUGGGACUGAGACACGGCCCAGACUCCUACGGGAGGCAGCAGUAGGGAAUCUUCGGCAAUAGACGGAAGUCUGACCGAGCAACGCCGCGUGAGUGAAGAAGGUUUUCGGAUCGUAAAGCUCUGUUGUAAGAGAAGAACGAGUGUGAGAGUGGAAAGUUCACACUGUGACGGUAUCUUACCAGAAAGGGACGGCUAACUACGUG
RNAcentral lists this ribosomal RNA (494 nucleotides) under uncultured bacterium. RNAcentral describes it as "partial 16S ribosomal RNA". It matches the Rfam family "Bacterial small subunit ribosomal RNA", at positions 29 to 507 of the family's 1533-position model. The record is from RNAcentral.